Molecule: small RNA, 648 nt
Filed under: Pongo abelii (Sumatran orangutan)
Lineage: Eukaryota; Metazoa; Chordata; Mammalia; Primates; Hominidae
Description: processed transcript
Source: RNAcentral
CACCGGAGAACUUCUCCAGAGCGCGACGGCAUGGUUCCUUCUACACGCUGGCAGAACUGCCAUUGCCAUCGCCCCGAAGCGGCAGAAUGGUACGCUCUGAAAACUGGAUGGUUCUACCGUAAGCAAGAAAGACGCAUUUAAAUCAAACGGUAUUGAGAUGGAUUGGGUUAUGAAACAUAAUGGUCCAAAUGACGCUAGUGAUGGGACAGUACGACUUCGUGGACUACCAUUUGGUUGCAGCAAAGAGGAAAUAGUUCAGUUCUUUCAAGGUAUAUUGAGAUCUUCAGAAGUAGCAGGAGUGAAAUCAAAGGAUUUUAUGAUCCACCAAGAAGAUUGCUGGGACAGCGACCGGGACCAUAUGAUAGACCAAUAGGAGGAAGAGGGGGUUAUUAUGGAGCUGGGCGUGGAAGUAUGUAUGACAGAAUGCGACGAGGAGGUGAUGGAUAUGAUGGUGGUUAUGGAGGUUUUGAUGACUAUGGUGGCUAUAAUAAUUACGGCUAUGGGAAUGAUGGCUUUGAUGACAGAAUGAGAGAUGGAAGAGGUAUGGGAGGCCAUGGCUAUGGUGGAGCUGGUGAUGCAAGUUCAGGUUUUCAUGGUGGUCAUUUUGUACAUAUGAGAGGGUUGCCUUUUCGUGCGACUGAAAAUGAC